This is a long non-coding RNA of Salvelinus fontinalis (brook trout), 4970 nucleotides long. RefSeq lists it as uncharacterized. The record is from RefSeq and is a predicted model, not a curated record. NCBI's taxonomy places the organism in Eukaryota, Metazoa, Chordata, Actinopteri, Salmoniformes, Salmonidae. The transcript has 3 exons.
AUGAGUAAUUGACAAAACAGUGUUGUGUUUCUCUUUCGGCGACCCCCAUAUCAAAAUACAAUACUAUGAAAUGUAGCUGACGGUCUUCUGCAGGUUCUCCUCUAACCAGUGAGGCAAGAGGUGAGGAUGGAGGUGAUAUCAGCGCCUGGCCCCUCAUCAAAGACACUGAGUAAAUAACUAACGGACACUAGAGAAGCUUAACCAAGUUGAAUUCUUCACAAAGGGUCGACACAGCUGUGUUCAGGCAAAGACAUGUUCCCACUAUCACAAGUAUAUAUACUCCACUUUAGACACUCCUCCUUCUCUCCAAUCCUUACAUCUUAUGGUUCCACAGGAAGAGGGUAAUAGGAUAAUAAACCAUUAUUUCUCUCUUCAGGGGAUCUGACCUGACCUCCUGACCUCAACCCCUCCUUCGCCUAAUCCACAGAUGUCAAUCCGCUUCCCCUAUAGCAAUCCUGUGACUUACACCCGUCCACCCAACACAUUCCAAAGCCAUCUGUCUUUCUACAGAGAACCAUUAACUUCUGACAUAAAAGCCAGUCUCUUUCACUCCUUUAUAUACUAUGCUUCUGAUCUAUCAUGUCUUUAGUAUCUCAAUGUUCAAAGUUUACCCCGAAUCCAACACACCUAUCCUGGGAUAGUCUAUGACUUAGAGGCUCACUCCCCUCAGUGGUCAAGGACAUGGGUUUUACUUGAGAUAGGGGUAUCUGGAGUUGACAAUUGAUUUAUGCCAUAGAAUGAGUUGGUGUUUCUAUACUAUGAAGUACCAGGGACAAGAUCAGAGCCUUGUUUUAGGGGCCAAACUCUCUACAAUAAGAACAGUCUUCCUAGCAAAUGCUAUCUGGCUGGGUGAUACUCCUUUCUCAUUUAUCAAGUAUCACCUUGUGACCCAUUCCACACAUCUAUUGUUUGUCAUGUAGACUAAGGGGGUGUAUCUUUGCUAUAAAAGAUCUUUGUAUCCUUUGUGUCGGAGCUCUCAACAAAUCAUCUGAGGGUGUAUUGUCGACCAGCCAUUGCUAUUGUAGAGCUUUUACUAAUAAAGAUUCAGUUUAUGUAUAACUUUGACUUUGUCUCUCCUAAUUUGAUAAUACAGAAAUGAACCACCACAUUUGGCGACGAGGACGGAAUGUGAAUCUUCACUUGGUGACCUCUCCUGACGACCUGGGUAAAUCGUGCAGGAGGGAUUCCUCAAACUUGGGAUCUCAGGGAGACCACACUUCGGGAACAGAUCAGAUCGACCCGCCUAAGACCUGAGAGGAAGUGAGCAGAGUGGGUACCACAUCCCUCACAUAGUUUAAAAAAAGAAAGAUGUGAGCGAACCACACGAAGUAGAGUUUUUUAGAAAAGCCUCGGUUAUGUAGGCUCUGAGUGUGGUCCUGUGUGAGGGGACACCGUAGAGACGUAAGCAGGGCCAUGUCAGAUGAUAGUAAUCUGAGAGUUUGUAGACUCCAAAAAACUCUGCCACUGGUCGGUUGCUGGCGACUUAGAGCCGUCCUGACACUGAAUUGAUCACAGUGGGGAUUUGUGCGGUCUGUAGAGGCGAGGGGUCAGGGUGACUGUGGGUUCUCCUGGUGAAGCCCUAUUGGAAGAAGAACCUCGUUCUGAAAACUGUCUAAGUGACCCUCAGAAGUGGUGAAAUCCAAUUACUUUAAAUGUGCUAGCCAGGUAUGCCCUGGUUUACGCUGUGUGUGUUUUGUUUUGGGGAAACUAAUUAGGUAAUAUUUCUUUUUUUUUUUCUUUUUUUUGGAGAAUGUGAAACGCUUUAUUGAAAGAAGUUCAUUAUCCAGGUGUUAUUAAUGCAUUCAUUAUAAUUAUAAUGAUUGCAAUAUUAUAUUAUAAAUACAAUUUCAAUCUGUACUUCAAUGCACAUAUGGUGUGCAUUAUAAAACGAGGAAGAAAGACGAGGUGUGGAGAGAGGUGUAGAAGACAGAAGGGGAAAGAGGUAAGGACAGCGGCAGACAGCAUAUGAUUCAUGAAUUACAGGGCUACCCUAAUAUUCUCUCAGUUCAUCACAAUUGCAGUGUCUCCUAACCUUCGGGCCAACUGGGGGCCCAAUGAUGGUUAUCUUAAGAGUGGGUGAGUAAUAUUUUGACAAUGUUCGACAUUGACAAUGUAUCGCCCCAGAUAUGAUAUUAGACAAAAUGCCAUGAUAGUCACUUAGCCAAGACCGUGGACAUAUAUAUUUUGUGUAUCUUUUUGUUUUGUUUUAUUCUUAAUUUUUAUUUCAUUUUCUUUGACACUAAGGAAGAUAUACUGCCAUACAAUCACCAGUUAGGGCCACAACGCUGCUCAUUUGGAGAAGAAAUGUAAUGAUGUAUUGCGUGAGUGUGAUGCGUUAAUAACGUCUGUCUAAGUUACUGCCUAAAUCCACCAGCCUGAACAACCGAACGACGGGUACGGAACACCGAUCCACAACCAGGACAUCCCAAGGCCAUUUUUGUGGGGUUCUGCGGCUUGCAGAAAUCCUACCAGGUUAAACCACCAGAAGAGGACUGUCAGAAUAAUCCACAAACCAGGACAUCCCGUGGUCAUUCUUGUGAUGGGUUGCAACUUGCAGAAUCCUUCCACGAUUGAACCCACCAGAAAGGGACUGUUAUGACUGUCCACGAGAAUCCAAAUAGGUCAGAUCAGGUUUGCAAUUAAUAACUUUAUUCAGACCCCCUCUCACCCGUAGAGGGGUGGGAGGAAAGAACUAGUGGGGAUUAACAACGCACGUCCUGUUGUAAAUCAAUGGAAGAAGAUUCAGGUCUCCCUCUCCCAGAUUCACCAAAGGAGUGUCCUUUGUUUCAAUAGACUUUUCCCGCUGAAACUCUAGCACGUUCAAAAGUGAAUAAGGGAACAAUUGUAUUUAUUUAUUGUUUAUAGUUUUUUACUAUAAAAUUGAUCAUAUUUCUCCCCAAUUUCCUGGUAUCCAAUUGAAGCAGCGCACAGUCUUAUCCCAUCGCUGCAACUCUCGUACAGACUCGGGAGAGGCAGUCAAGAGCCGUGCGCCCUCCAAAACCCGACCCCACCAAGCCACACUGCUUCUUGACACACUGCCCGCUUAACCCGAAGCCAGCCGCACCAAUGUGUCAGAGGAAACACCGUACACCUGUCGACCGUGUCAGCGUGCAAUGCGUGACGGGAUAAUGACAUCCCGGCCGAACAAACCCUCACCUAACCCAAUUGUGCGCCGCUUCAUUGUUCUCCUGGUUGCGGCCGACUGCGACACAGCCUGGAAUUGAACCAGGAUCUGUAGUGACACAGGACACGACACGCCUUAGACCGAUGCGCCACUCGGGAGGCCCUGGAACUAUAUUUCUAUCAUAGAAUGUGGGGAAUGGUCAGAGGCAAUCUAUAGAACACUAAGGAAAUACUGCAACUUGGAAAGUAUACCCACUACAUAUACGAAGUUUCCAUACUAUGUGUUGUAAUUGUAACAUGACAAAUGAUGAAAGUGUUUUUGUUAAAGAGAGGGAUGUGAUUUGAGAAGCUACUGUAUAAGAGGUAAUUGUUUUACAUAAACUUUGCACAAUGACAAGUCACGCCCCAGAGUGAGGUCAGAAAGCGUGCCAGCCUGACAGAACUGCCCAUUUCAAACAAACAGUUUGCGCUCUCCCCUGAUAAAAAUAAUAAUAAAAAAUUAAAAUAAAUAAAAAACAACCUUAUAAAUGAUGAGUUAAGAAAUGAACAUACCAGAUCAGAGAAGCGUGAAGUUGCAGCUGCACAUUUAAAGUGGUUUGAACUUUGAAUCUCAACACGAGGUAGAGACGAUAAACUUUAAUUGCCUUUGAACUGGUUAUGGUGGUAGGUGCCAGGCACACCGCUUUGUGUCAAGAACUGCAACGCAACUAGGUAAUUCAUACUCAACAGUUACCCAUUCGUAUCAAUAAUGGUACGCCACCCAAAGGACAUCCAGCCAACUUGACACAACUGUGGGAAGCAUUGGAGUCAACAUGGGCCAGCAUCCCUGUGGAAUGCUUUCGACGUUUUGUAGAGUUGACGGUCCAAAGGAAUGAGGCUCUUCGGAGGGCAAGUCCUGUAAAUGUAGAGAUAAAUAACUACUUAUUCAACUCGGAAAUAUGUGACCUAUCAUUUCACAUAUUUGAGCCAAUCCAUUAUAAAAAAGUAUUUCAGUAGAUGCGGAGAUUGAAAAAGAAAAUGCAUUACAUAUUUAAUAUGUCCCAUACCUUUACAUAUUCAUGUAGAUUCUGAAAUAAUCUACAUGUUCUAAUUUGAUUGAAAAUUGUUCAGUUUGUACUAAGGGAACAAAGGGCCCUGGGAACAUAGGACGAAGGCAACAUAGAGAUGUGCAUCCUGCUGUUCAAUUCACUAAGGGCUUUUUAGUCUCAAGCGGCAGGGAUCCUUUAAACACGUUGGUUGGGGGUGAUGAAACAACAGAGGCCCCAUUCAAUGAAGGGAAGCAUAUAGGAGAAGUGGCGAUUUGCACGUGUCACUUGGCAAAAAGGGGGCAUGAUUUGUUGACAUAAUUGUAAUCCAAAUCCAACCUUCAUUUACUCGUUGUGAUGCACUGCGCAGUUCCAAACUCAGUUUUAGAUGAGACUGACUUUAUUAACAAAAUGAUCUUAUUUACACUUCGCAGUCAAUUUUGACACUAAAAUACAUUUUUUUCUGACUCAUAUCGAUGGUGCAUAGGUUAUUGUCAAGGUGAUUAGUUGGUUUUUAUGGUCAAUCGCUCUUUAAAGAGUGGGACAUCAGCUGAAAUGCAGACAAUUUUGUAUAUUGAACUCUGAAUAUAUAAUUUGUUCCUGUGUUGCAUUGUAUUGUGUUGUAACAUGCUGUUAGGUACCUGCAAGGACUGGGAUGGGAUAAGAGAGUUGUGUAUGAGUAAUCGGUAAGGCCUAAGUAUUGUAGCCUAGUGCAGAGGUUUUUACUCUAUACAUUUAUGUGGUUUGGUAAAUGUUUGUUUCGUUUCACAUAAAGACAAAAAUGUUUUCAACUUUUUUAGCAUUUGGCUACUUUUGCUUUGA